GGGACAAUGAUAUAAACCUAUUUAAGUUAAGGGAUGAUAAGUGAAUUUAGCCAUAAGUUGACCUAGAAACCUGUAAUAGCAGGUUAUAUAGAUUUGAGUGAUACUCAAAUUGAAGUUUGGGAUUUUUAUAAUAUAAAUUAAAGUUAAUAGACGAUAUUAAUAUAAUCACCUAAAUUGAGGGACUAUGAGAUAAAUUAACCUAGACAAUUUAUAUAUUCAGCUUGUGACAUUUUUAUUAACUAGUAAAACCUCAAAAUCAUUUUUAUAAAUUACACAGAUAAAGAGAUUUUUACCUCUUCCAUGUUUGGUCGAGAGUG
Molecule: unclassified non-coding RNA, 317 nt
Filed under: Hevea brasiliensis (rubber tree)
Lineage: Eukaryota; Viridiplantae; Streptophyta; Magnoliopsida; Malpighiales; Euphorbiaceae
Source: RNAcentral